UACGAAGGGGGCUAGCGUUGUUCGGAUUUACUGGGCGUAAAGGGCGUGUAGGCGGCCCGUUAAGACAGGUGUGAAAUUCCUGGGCUCAACCCAGGACGUGCGCCUGUGACUGGCGGGCUUGAGUCCGGGAGAGGAUGGUGGAACUCCCAGUGUAGAGGUGAAAUUCGUAGAUAUUGGGAAGAACACCCGUGGCGAAGGCGGCCAUCUGGACCGGUACUGACGCUAAGGCGCGAACAGCGUGGGGAGCAAACAGGG
This 255-nucleotide ribosomal RNA is filed under the name uncultured bacterium. Its description in RNAcentral is "partial 16S ribosomal RNA". It matches the Rfam family "Bacterial small subunit ribosomal RNA", at positions 524 to 777 of the family's 1533-position model. The record is from RNAcentral.